This 1015-nucleotide long non-coding RNA is filed under the name Bos grunniens (domestic yak). RNAcentral's name for it is "lncRNA (ENSBGRG00000000544.1)". The record is from RNAcentral. Lineage: Eukaryota; Metazoa; Chordata; Mammalia; Artiodactyla; Bovidae.
AUGCGGUGGUCUUUGUCCGCCGGUGUGGAGGUGGAACGGUCCGGGCAGCUGCACUGGUGUCAGGGCUCGGCCAGCUGUGCUCGCGCCCCCGCCGGAGGCCGAUGGAGCAGGUGGGACCGGCCGGGCUCGCAGGGGCGGGACUUUCCGGCGCCGGCACCGCCUCUUGCCGAGGUGAUCUGGUCUCCUCCGGGAGGGCGGUUUCUUGCCCCGCGGGUCCCAGACGGGGAUUCUGGGAGCCUGUCUCUUGCGGCUCGUGGCGCGCGGGGAGGUUUCGGCGUACCUGCGGAGAUCGUACCUGCGGAGGACGUACGUACCUGUGCGUGAGGAGGAGAAAGGGCAAGAUCCAUCCUGAGUGACCCGCGUGCCAGCCUCUCCGCGUAAGGUGAGGCUGGGGGAAACCCUGUGCUCCGGCCUGACCCAGAGGAGGCAUCGAUCAGCGUCUGCCCCGGUACUCUGGAGACCUGGGCCUUGGGGGAACCGAAGCGACGAGACUUCCCAGGCACUGCCCUGGCAAAGUCCCCUGCUCACGGGGGGUCGAGGGUGAGGGAGCAGACAAGCCCAUCGCAGAGCAAAGGUGGCCGCGUUGGGAAGGAGGCUGGGGUUGGUUCGUGUUGACUUCCUGAAGAAGUGGAAUCUUGAAUAGCACUGAGAAUGAGGGAAGAACCUGGAUUUGGGGCAAAAGUGAAAAGAGGGGUGGCCUAUUUGACAGUUUGUGGGGGAUACCAGAAGGGGUUUGUGGAAGAAAAGAGAGUUGGACCAGAGCUGGGAGUUUUCCGAUGGGAAACUGCUGGAUGGAAUUAGACUAGAGGGCAGAAAUGAGCAAGAAGCCCUGCUCAUCCUAAGAGUAUAUAUGGGAUAAAUCAGUCCAGCAGUCCUUUCAGGAUGAAUUGAGCAGUUGCUGUGGUGGGUUAAAUGGACUCGUCCAAACGAGGGGAUACUUCUUACCAUCAAAUGUUAAAAUCCGAGACAUAAUCCAGAAGAAAGCAAUAUUCAAAAUAUAGAGCACCAUGCGGUG